Molecule: ribosomal RNA, 497 nt
Filed under: uncultured bacterium
Lineage: Bacteria
Description: partial 16S ribosomal RNA
Rfam family: Bacterial small subunit ribosomal RNA
Source: RNAcentral
GAUGAACGCUGGCGGCGUGCCUAAUACAUGCAAGUCGAGCGAACAGACGAGGAGCUUGCUCCUCUGACGUUAGCGGCGGACGGGCGAGUAACACGUGGAUAACCUACCUAUAAGACUGGGAUAACUUCGGGAAACCGGAGCUAAUACCGGAUAAUAUAUUGAACCGCAUGGUUCAAUAGUGAAAGACGGUUUUGCUGUCACUUAUAGAUGGAUCCGCGUCGGAUUAGCUAGUUGGUAAGGUAACGGCUUACCAAGGCAACGAUGCGUAGCCGACCUGAGAGGAUGAUCGGCCACACUGGAACUGAGACACGGUCCAGACUCCUACGGGAGGCAGCAGUAGGGAAUCUUCCGCAAUGGGCGAAAGCCUGACGGAGCAACGCCGCGUGAGUGAUGAAGGUCUUCGGAUCGUAAAACUCUGUUAUUAGGGAAGAACAAAUGUGUAAGUAACUAUGCACGUCUUGACGGUACCUAAUCAGAAAGCCCCGGCUAACUACGUG